Molecule: long non-coding RNA, 2237 nt
Organism: Drosophila simulans
Lineage: Eukaryota; Metazoa; Arthropoda; Insecta; Diptera; Drosophilidae
Exons: 2
Source: RefSeq, a predicted model, not a curated record
AAUACACUGAAAAGAAUACCAAAUAUAAUACAAUUAAUUGCAACCCAAAUGAUUAUCAAAUAUAUAUCCGAAAAUCUUUGUAAGUUUUUUUUUAACGUGCGAGUACCACGGCCACAUGUCUCACCCUGCGGACCGAUGGGCGCUGCCGCGUAUCGUGCGGUUUGAAUUGCGGACAGAUAGACGCGAUAUAGAAAAGAGAAAAGAAGACGAGGAAAUAAAUAAAAUAUAGAUAGAUAUUAGUAAGAUCUUAUUAUGUGCUAAAAAUGUUAGAAAUUAUUGAAUUAAGAGUGCCAAGAUUACAUAUAAUAGGAUAUAGUCAUAAUAGGAUAUUUAGUCAGAAUAUAAUAUAAUAAUAUAAUUAAGAGACUGGCAGAUUCCGCUGGAAGCAGAAAGUCGGAUGCAUACAACACUCACGGUGCCAAGAAACCUGCCUAUUUCAAGCGAAAGUGAUGCCGUUCGGACUACAUUUGGAGUAGGCGAUGUUUCAGCAGGCAUUGGACCAAUAGGACCCGAGAUGAUAACACACACCUUCGCAUAUCAGGAAGAUAUUUAGUGAACGGACGGACGCUACAGGAGCACAUGUACAGCCUAAAUUUUUAUUGCAGACAGACGCCAGCGAGCUUGACGCUUUUCUCACAGAACAGUCAGUUCCAGGCGCGGGAGUGAUAUCCUACUCCAGAGGAUCACUAAAUAAAACGGCGAAGAGCAGCUCUAAAACGGAAUUUGAGUGUUUAGGAACAGUGUUGGCCGUCAAGAAAUUGAAAGCAUACCGCAUACUGCGACUCCCACAGUACGAUUUCCGUAUUUCGUGUAGAAAGGUGAAGCUGAACGUCGUAGCGGACGCGCUAUCGAGGCAACCACUUAAAAAAAAAAACCGCAGGAUAAGAUUAAGACCGAAGGAGAAAGGGAAACAAAGCGAGCAACAGGAAUGUCGGUGAGUGGACGAAAUGCGGGGAAAGGUUAAGUAGGAUCCACAGAAACACCCGGACUAUCUGGUGGAGACCGGUCGGCUGAAUUUACACAUUCCACACAGGACAGUAAACGAGGAUGUGGUGUCGUAGAAGCUGUGUGCACCGAGCGGGGAAAAACAGCGCGUCAUGUAGACAGCAGGACAUCUGGGCAAUUGAAAGACGAUUACAAGGGUUUCAGCCAGUUAGAAAUGGAUGUGAGAAAAUUGGUGAGGAACUUCAAAAGUUUUGUGAAACGCAAGGCAAAUUAAGUGAAGGUGGCUGGGAACCAUGAGCCAGAUGGAUCCAGGUUCUUUCUCCAGUUUGGAGCCGCAGCCGCCGCCGCUGCCACCAACGCUGCCUCCGAAGCUGCCACCGACGUCACCCCCGAAACUGCCAAUACCACGACCGAUUACGCCAUCACCUCUGCCGUGUCGGGCGGCCAGGGUCAUGGGGGCGGAAUUAAGCGAGCGAAAAUCACAAGAAUAAAUUUUUUGUUUGAUGGGUCAGGGAAGGGUAAGGAUGGCACUGCACUACACUGAAAAAAGGUGGUGCGGGUUUCAUUCGCAGCAGCCAUGAAGGAUCGCGCGGGGUGGAACGACACGCAGGCCAGGCAACCGGGGGCGCAAAUAGGCUGCCACUGGAACGCGACCAGAAGGGACCAGGGCCGUCCACCCCGGAGCACAAAGUGGCUUCAGUACGGGGAAAUGCUAAAAGGAAGAGAUGCGUAAAUAUGUCGCAGUUUUACUCACAAAACUUCAAUAGUUACCAUCGUCAUCGUUACCACCAGCAACGCUGGGAGAACACGUGGAGAAAAUCGGGAUAGUUCAAUUGAAAGGAAUACAAAAUGGAAUAAAAAUACACAUGGAUUUAACAAGGCGCGACAGGUUCUGAUAGUCCGGAGAAGAGCCCAAGAAAGUUCUAAUAGGCUGAGACUGCAAGGUUGGGAAGAGGAUGCGCAGAAGAAACAAGGAAGAAUGGCUAUGCGAGAAGACAUUCAUACGGAGAACCGAUAGGUAACCACCAGUAACUAGGGAUUAGUCAGUGAGAACGCGCGAACCUGUCAAUCAUUCACGUAAGCCAAUCAAGAUCACUGAAUCCAGCCACUAAACGACGAGGGAGUCUACAAGGCUGAGGCUAAAGUUGAGAUCCCCACGGUGAGGGUGCUACAGUAGGAGACGACAGAGACCUGAAGUUGUCAGUAAAGGAUUAUGGUGUCCUUGGUUGGGCUUGUGUAACAGAAGCGGCCAUAACAGGCGUGUGUUUUGGUGUUUCCAUCGGUGGAUCAGA